RNAcentral lists this ribosomal RNA (429 nucleotides) under Bacteroidota bacterium. RNAcentral describes it as "Bacteroidetes bacterium partial 16S ribosomal RNA". It matches the Rfam family "Bacterial small subunit ribosomal RNA", at positions 355 to 776 of the family's 1533-position model. RNAcentral also lists the same sequence under 2 other names. Lineage: Bacteria; Pseudomonadati; Bacteroidota. The record is from RNAcentral.
UAGGGAAUCUUCGGCAAUGGGGGGAACCCUGACCGAGCAACGCCGCGUGAGUGAAGAAGGUUUUCGGAUCGUAAAGCUCUGUUGUUAAGGAAGAACGAGUGUGAGAAUGGAAAGUUCAUGCUGUGACGGUACUUAACCAGAAAGGGACGGCUAACUACGUGCCAGCAGCCGCGGUAAUACGUAGGUCCCGAGCGUUGUCCGGAUUUAUUGGGCGUAAAGCGAGCGCAGGCGGUUAGAAAAGUCUGAAGUGAAAGGCAGUGGCUCAACCAUUGUAGGCUUUGGAAACUGUUUAACUUGAGUGCAGAAGGGGAGAGUGGAAUUCCAUGUGUAGCGGUGAAAUGCGUAGAUAUAUGGAGGAACACCGGUGGCGAAAGCGGCUCUCUGGUCUGUAACUGACGCUGAGGCUCGAAAGCGUGGGGAGCGAACAGG